This 530-nucleotide long non-coding RNA is filed under the name Macaca mulatta (Rhesus monkey). Its description in RNAcentral is "lncRNA (ENSMMUG00000059582.1)". The record is from RNAcentral. Lineage: Eukaryota; Metazoa; Chordata; Mammalia; Primates; Cercopithecidae.
CCAGGUGCUGAGGAAGGAUUAGCAAGAAGUUUUUAAAAAGCACAUCACCCACUGCAAGAGAACUGCAGGCAAGAGGCUCCAGCUACUGCAGGCAGGACAGGAUGAAUGGGUAGACUACAAAGAAUCUACAAACCCAGUCAGCCUGAAUACCUGCCUUGCCCCGAGAGGAGGAGUUCUGCUUGUAACAGUUCUGGCCAGACAGCCUGAAGUCCACACUUGCACACCACUUUGCAGUUGGUCUGGCCAUGUGACAGUGAAUAACCAAUGACCAUGAGCACAAGUACUAGGAAUGGCAGGUGAAAGAUGACCCACCCCUUCCUCCGCAUUGCUAACAAAGGAGACUGUGUAUCCUGGAAGAAGACAUCAUGUGAGUUUCUGAAUAAACAAAAGUAUUACACAAGCUCAAGUUUACAUCUUGGUGGCAGAUCAACAGCCCACCAGCACCUGGGACCCCACAGGCAGGGCUGGCUAGGAUGCCCCUCAGUUGGGCUACCCAUUAAACUGACCUCCUUCUCAUGGAUCUCAGGGAU